GACCAAUCAGGAUUUUGGAGGACACCAGGUCACAAAGCUGACCCAGUCUUGAGCCUCAUGGAAUCACAGAAUCUGGAGGUCAGACAAAAUGUAGGAAUUGCUUUUGCAACAUCUCAGGAAAACGGGCUUCCCACUCCCAUGUGACAGCCUCAGUUAUUGUUAGGCUUACCGCUCAUGUGUCGCUGUCCCCUGAUGGUGUCUCAGGCUGUCCCAAGGCUGCUUUCUGGGUGGGGAGGCCUUCUUGGAGAGUGCUGAGAAGUUGGAAUGUUCCCUCUUCAUUCCUCAGACUCUCCAAGUCCACUUCACAACCAAUUUCAAGUCACUUAACCUCUCUGAGCCUCACUAUCUUCAUCUGUCACAUGGUGAUAGAAGCAUGGGAUCAACACCUUGAAUGGUGCCCAACCAGCGUUCAUCCUCCAUUAAGUGUUAAUCCCUGAGAUUGGUAUUAUUGUCACGACCACUGCCUCUGCCUACCUUGUUGGCAUGGACUGGGUUCACUAGUACUCACUUGUUCCCCAGACACUGUGCACCUGUAUGUCUCCCCCUGAUUCCUGUACCUUCCUCCUUAGGGGAGGCUCUGGAAUAUCCUCCUUCCUAGCCUGGUUCCCACACCAUGCCCCCUCCCACCCUCUCUGAGAACUCUGAUUCACUGGAAGGAACUCAGCUCCAACCCACUUGCCUUGCCUGGGGCACACGGCCUCAGUGUGGGAGCCCAACGACUGGGGUGUGGGUGGGGGUCCAGCCUUUUUUUUUUUUCACUUUUGGAGUAUUUACUUAACAACCAUGAGCCUCAGUGUUCUCACUCUUAAACCAAAGGGAAUGUGCUGUGAAUAUGAACUGAGGCGAGCCACUGAAGGUGUGUUCAGGUAACACGUGUGCUUGAGGUAUUGGCCAUCUCCUCCUUCACACGCAUUUUCUCUCUUGGUCCUCACUGCCACUCGGGAAGCAGGUGUCGCUACAGGUAAAAACACUGAGCUCUGUGGGAGAAGUGACAGGCUCAAGGCCACCCAGAUCCUCUGACUGGGCUCAGAGGUGAAUCUAGGACUCCAGAUCCUACGUGUUAUCUACCAUAACGUGCAAACGUACUGUGACUGAUCUGGUAGCUUUUCAAACUUUUUUGAAUUAAAUCAAAUACAGCAGCAGAAUACUAUGAUAUUCUGAUCUCGUAUUUAAGUAAUUUAUUUGCAUUUUAUGCUGGGUUUUGAUGCAGGACCGGGAAAUCAACAAAACUUUUAUUUUAAAGGGGAAAAAACUCGAUGGAUAGAGAAAUUGCCUUCUCAUAGCUGAGUACCAAAGGGAGUGUCCCAGGCUGCUUAUUUUUUGGAGAUUGAGACCCCAAAUGUCACAACACUGGCAUUCAAAAGCCCAGAAGGGGAAGCAGCUUCUUCUGGCGUAUUUGUGAUGUUUCCUGUCACCAGAGUCUGUGCCUGGGAUAACAGCAAUACAUCCAUGCGCUUUACUCUGCACAGAACAUUUUUUUCAGCCUUGCUCGUUAGUAGAUGUAAGCCAGCCAGUAACCCCGUGGGGUGUGUGUGUGUGUGUGUGUGUGUGCGCGCGCGCGCACGAGCACACGCGUUGCAUACUGCCCCCAUCCCCUCGGGGAUCUCCCUGGCAGCCCACGGGGGCUGUCCCCCUACCCCAGAUUUCUUCUUGAAGCUUGCCCUUCUGAAAUUGCUUCAGGUAUGAUUCUAUCUCGAAGACUGAAGAUCGGACUUGAAAAGGAGCCCGCUCUCAUAGUGUCAUUCCUGACAGAUUUCUUAAUUAAUCUGCUCAGAUUGUCAAUAGUGUAAUUCACUGUUGAUUUAGAAACUAGUUAUAUGAGCACUGCUUAGUGCCAUUGUGGGAAAACAUCUGAAUAAUUCAGCUAAUAGAUGGGAAACUCACCCAGAUUGCUGGGGCACAGGGAGCAAAGAGCUAACUCGCAUGAGAUGAGCUCGAGCAGGGUGAUUCCAGCAAAUUCCAGGGAGCGGGGAGAGGUUGUCAUAUUAUUGGGGGCAGCAGCUGCCUGGUUUAAUUAUUGUCAUUUCGGUUUUUGGAAAAAGGAACGUGGGCCUGGUAUUCUCACAGGCAGAGGCCAUUAACACACUCUUGAAAAAUAUUGCAGAAUUUCAGUGUAAAAUGUGUGAUCUAGUUGAUUACUAACUCAGAGCUACUCAGCGUGUUAGUGGGUCCCAUUCUUGCGAUGCCAUAUUAUUUUUAUAUGAUUCUUAUUCAACAUAUGUGAGUUUAGUGAUAUGUACCAUCCAAGGAAUAUAAAAAUGACUUCCUUCUCUUCUGGGAGAUUCGCAAUUAUUUGGGGGUUUCCUAGAAUUGAAUAGAUGUGUCUUGAGAUUGGGGUCAUCAUCCAUUUUACACCAAAACUUGAGCUGUGUUGAAAUUGAAGUUUAUAGGUUGAUGAGUCUGCUUAUGUGAAGAGUCUUACGUAAACAUAAAAACUCAAUCACUUUUAGUUAUAUACUUAACAUUUUGUUUUUAUUGAAAAUCGUAAAAUUAUAUGAAGUUGAGCUGUUAUACUAAAUUUUUUUUUGCCAUGGUGGUUAGAGUUUUAACAACCCUUAAGUGCAGACGAGUUAGUGGCUAAAUGUAAAUGUGAAUCAGAAUCAUGGUGCUUUUGAUAGGAAAUGUUAAUUCAGUUCCAUUUAUCUGCAGCUUCUCACACUUGUCUUCUCUUUUCUAUCUCCCUUUCUCCCCCCCAACAUCCUCGCAUGCAUGACAGCUCAUGUGCACACACACGUGCACACACACAAACAUACAUGCACACACAGUACACCAACACACGCACGCACCCACGUGUGCACACACAGGCACACGCAUGCACACUCUUGUCUGUCACCUCUCUUCCAGCUUUCUAUGGUGAGGUCUUCAGAAAAAGGGAGAGAGCAAACAGCAUCCAGGGCUGAUAGCCUGACACGGACGGGCUUCUAGCAGCAGAGUGAGCACCUAGCAAGUCCCAACAGCCACGGGAAGAGGAAGGAGCCCGAGCUCUCGUGGUGACCCAGGGGGUGAACGCAGACAGCGGGGCCAGUAUUCGUUACCUCUUCGGUGCCCUUCCUGCCGGCAGGGUCUACGGCAAAUGCUCAGUAGUGCUGAAUUGUAGGAGGCUCGCACUAAGCCUGCGAGGGAGGGGCUGGUUUCACCCUACUUUGCAGGAAAGAAAGGCCCUGAAGGUGAAGUGACCUCUCCAUGGACAAACUGGACCUCUCCAGCUGGUAAAGCUGGCACUUACGUCCAUUGCCCGCAUCUGGUGGACACAAGGGUGUGCUGUUGUGAGUGGUGUCACAUCUGUAACUUGGGACCGCCUCUGAUUCGGUGGGAGUAUUUACACCAAGGAAAUCGGCAAACGUUACAGAUGAGGUUUUGUCUCUUCAGCACGCUGUGGAUGAGUCACCAUCCUCCAGAGAUAGAGCCUGAAAGAAACCUCUGCCUGCCUCUAAGGUCCACCCGCAAGCCUUCGCCAGCCUUCUCUUCUGGAGCCUCCUGAUGAGCUUGGCACACCCUCCCCAAACAUUAACCUCUGGUAACCUGUUGGUGUCUGCUUUUAUGGUCAUUCUCCAAGCAUCUUGAUUCUUCUGUCGGCAGAGCUCAGCACAGAGUAGAGCUCACUCUGCGCUCGUGGGAUGAACCCACCCGUGAGCGGGUGAGUAAAUACGACUUCAGUUUUCUACAUUGGUGUCUCUUUGGCCUUUGGGGUGGGCCGUACCUCACUAAAGGGCACAACACUAAGGUUAUGAUAAGCCCCAAACUGCUUUUGGCCUCAAAAACAGCCCGAAGCUGAAGUGACAUUUCACACAAAUGUGAGUCGCGCUUGAUGUUGAAGUGUUUGCUGAGAAACUACUUGAAAAAGGCCACUUUUGGAAGAAACUACUUCGAAGGCGACUUGACAGUCCACUGAGCUGAGAAAAUGUGCCCAGGGAGCCAGGACCCACACAUCAAAGGGAUUCGGAAGGACAAUUUGCAAGGAGAGCCACACGUCCGGAUCACCUUGGGGAAAGCGGUCUUUGUCACUGAUCUGAAUCAAGGGCAGGAGGGCACAAGGACAUCAGAUUUGUUUGAAGAGAACAGCAUCCUGUUAGUCUUGGAAAAGAAUGACAUGAAGCCACCAAAACACCACUUCCUCCCCUCCCCCAGGCCCGCUCGUCACCCGGUGAGACCCCGUACAUCAAAGACUCUCUGAGCCCUGUGUCUUCCUUGUGUGUCACCCUAGUUAACGAUUUGAAGGCAAAUGCCCAGAACACUGAUGUGAGGGGGUAGAAAGAGCUCCCUGCCCCUCCUGUGUGGUUCUACCGUGUCCCCCUCCUCUGGGGCUCACUCCUCUAGGCCUUGGCAAUUUUUCUAGGUCCCAAGAGGCGGUGGACCCAAGCUCAUGGGUUAACUCCACCAACCCCUGUAGGAGCCUGGGUAAAUGACUUGAGUUUUUUGCCCCAUCUGUAGAAUUCGACUGUUACUUUGGCCUGUGUUACACCCCCCCACCCCCUACAUGGCUACAGAGAGGUCCGGGGAAGUGAUCUGUCAUAGACUCCACGGAGCUGCAAGCUGCUGUUCUUAGCUUUGUCAAUGCCAUCACUAGUGUCUGGGUCCCCUCUUAUUUGACACGAGAAACCUAAGGCCCGGAGAUGUGAAGUGACUCGAUGAGGUCCCUGCCAGGGUCUUACACGGGGCUCUGGGAGUGAGUCCCGUGCCUCCUCUGUUAACAAAUGCAUUCCACUCUCGGUGCCCUUUCUUGUCAACUCUUACUUAUCAGCCUCACAGCAGGUGAAGUCAUCCAAUAACAGAAAGCCACUGCCCAUUUUGCUAUGAAAUUCUACCCAGGGAAUGCGGACACACCCAUACACCCCCGACCUACACCUCGUGUCACUCGGUUUUAGGAUUAGUAGAAAUACAUACGCUCUUUUUUUUAAAAUUUAUUUGAGAGAGAGAGAGAGA
Long non-coding RNA from Felis catus (domestic cat), 4923 nucleotides. RefSeq lists it as uncharacterized. Lineage: Eukaryota; Metazoa; Chordata; Mammalia; Carnivora; Felidae. The record is from RefSeq and is a predicted model, not a curated record. The transcript has 3 exons.